This 490-nucleotide ribosomal RNA is filed under the name uncultured bacterium. RNAcentral's name for it is "partial 16S ribosomal RNA". It matches the Rfam family "Bacterial small subunit ribosomal RNA", at positions 30 to 507 of the family's 1533-position model. The record is from RNAcentral.
AUUGAACGCUGGCGGCAGGCCUAACACAUGCAAGUCGAACGGUAACAGGAAGCAGCUUGCUGCUUUGCUGACGAGUGGCGGACGGGUGAGUAAUGUCUGGGAAACUGCCCGAUGGAGGGGGAUAACUACUGGAAACGGUAGCUAAUACCGCAUAACGUCGCAAGACCAACGAGGGGGACCUUAGGGCCUCUUGCCAUCGGAUGUGCCCAGAUGGGAUUAGCUAGUAGGUGGGGUAACGGCUCACCUAGGCGACGAUCCCUAGCUGGUCUGAGAGGAUGACCAGCCACACUGGAACUGAGACACGGUCCAGACUCCUACGGGAGGCAGCAGUGGGGAAUAUUGCACAAUGGGCGCAAGCCUGAUGCAGCCAUGCCGCGUGUAUGAAGAAGGCCUUCGGGUUGUAAAGUACUUUCAGCGGGGAGGAAGGGAGUAAAGUUAAUACCUUUGCUCAUUGACGUUACCCGCAGAAGAAGCACCGGCUAACUCCGUG